AUAGCAAUAUAAAAGAAUAAGGACCAAAUGUUAUACAAAAGAAUCAGGGUGAAAAAAACGUUAAUUGAUUCAAGGGUAAAAUUAGAAAAGAAAAGGAAAAAACUAACAUUUUUUAAAAAAUUAAGUUAAGAAUCUAAAAUAAAAAAAAAAGAUCAAAUCUGAAAGCGAAACAAAAUAAGAGGAAAAAUAGUAUUUCAAUGUUAGAGAAUAAAAAAAAAUCAAUUUGAUAAAAGCCCCCC
RNAcentral lists this long non-coding RNA (239 nucleotides) under Populus trichocarpa (black cottonwood). Its description in RNAcentral is "long non-coding RNA (PTRI_LNC000303)". Lineage: Eukaryota; Viridiplantae; Streptophyta; Magnoliopsida; Malpighiales; Salicaceae. The record is from RNAcentral.